GGGAGCCUAUACAGGUGUUGCAUGGCUGUCGUCAGCUCGUGUCGUGAGAUGUCGGUUAAGUCCGCUAACGAGCGCAACCCUCGUCGUAUGUUAUAUGUGUCAUACGAGACUGCCGGUAAAAAGCCGGAGGAAGGUGAGGAUGAUGUCAAGUCAGCAUGACCUUUAUAUCCAGGGCUACACACACGCUACAAUGGUCUGUACAAUGGGUAGCCAAGCCGCGAGGCGGAGCCAAUCCUGAAAGCAGGCCUCAGUUCAGAUUGCAGUCUGCAACUCGACUGCAUGAAGCCGGAGUUGCUAGUAACCGCAGGUCAGCAAUACUGCGGUGAAUACGUUCCCGGGUCUU
RNAcentral lists this ribosomal RNA (343 nucleotides) under uncultured Anaerolineaceae bacterium. RNAcentral's name for it is "bacterial SSU rRNA". It matches the Rfam family "Bacterial small subunit ribosomal RNA", at positions 1024 to 1382 of the family's 1533-position model. The record is from RNAcentral. Lineage: Bacteria; Bacillati; Chloroflexota; Anaerolineae; Anaerolineales; Anaerolineaceae.